CCUACGGGAGGCAGCAGUGGGGAAUUUUGGACAAUGGGCGAAAGCCUGAUCCAGCCAUGCCGCGUGAGUGAAGAAGGCCUUCGGGUUGUAAAGCUCUUUCAGCCGGAAAGAAAUCGCGCAGGCUAAUACUCUGCGUGGAUGACGGUACCGGAAGAAGAAGCACCGGCUAACUACGUGCCAGCAGCCGCGGUAAUACGUAGGGUGCGAGCGUUAAUCGGAAUUACUGGGCGUAAAGCGUGCGCAGGCGGUUAUAUAAGACAGAUGUGAAAUCCCCGGGCUCAACCUGGGAACUGCGUUUGUGACUGUAUGACUAGAGUACGGCAGAGGGAGGUGGAAUUCCGCGUGUAGCAGUGAAAUGCGUAGAUAUGCGGAGGAACACCGAUGGCGAAGGCAGCCUCCUGGGCCAGUACUGACGCUCAUGCACGAAAGCGUGGGGAGCAAACAGGAUUAGAUACCCUGGUAGUCCACGCCCUAAAACGAUGUCAACUAGUUGUUCGGUGAGGAGACUCAUUGAGUAACGCAGCUAACGCGUGAAGUUGACCGCGUGGGGAGUACGGCCGCGAAAGGUUAAAACUUAAAGGAAGUUGACGGNUAGAGACGAGCGAGGACGACGACGAGGGGAGGAGG
RNAcentral lists this ribosomal RNA (627 nucleotides) under uncultured bacterium. RNAcentral's name for it is "bacterial SSU rRNA". It matches the Rfam family "Bacterial small subunit ribosomal RNA", at positions 338 to 956 of the family's 1533-position model. The record is from RNAcentral.